RNAcentral lists this small RNA (159 nucleotides) under Noviherbaspirillum sp. RNAcentral's name for it is "Manganese sequence". It matches the Rfam family "Manganese Mn2+ riboswitch aptamer (yybP-ykoY)". From Rfam's summary of the family: This RNA was originally discovered in E. coli during a large scale screen and was named SraF. The record is from RNAcentral. Lineage: Bacteria; Pseudomonadati; Pseudomonadota; Betaproteobacteria; Burkholderiales; Oxalobacteraceae.
UGUCCCGUCAUUGGGGAGUAGCCUACCUUCACACUUCUGGAGGUGCUUGCGUCAACACACUUGGCCGUUCGGCCAUGGCGUAAGCGGUUCCUAAGCUUGGCAAGACCUUUGACCAUACUGCCUUCGGACUGGCCGGGGAGAAGUAUGGUCAUUGGAAUU